Molecule: non-coding RNA, 98 nt
Filed under: Helianthus annuus (common sunflower)
Lineage: Eukaryota; Viridiplantae; Streptophyta; Magnoliopsida; Asterales; Asteraceae
Source: RNAcentral
AGGAGCCGUGUGAGAUGAAAGUCUCAUGCACGGUUUUGAAUGAGAGGAAAAAACCGAAUAUUUCACAUAGUGCUUUUAAUCAAUCUGAUUUAUUUCGU